UACGAGAGGCCCAAACGUUAUUCGGAUUUACUGGGCUUAAAGAGUUUGUAGGCGGUUCGGUAAGUGAGAUGUGAAAGCCCUCGGCUCAACCGAGGAAUUGCGUUUCAAACUGCCGGGCUCGAGGGAGAUAGAGGUGAGCGGAACUGAUGGUGGAGCGGUGAAAUGCGUUGAUAUCAUCAGGAACACCAGAGGCGAAGGCGGCUCACUGGGUCUCUUCUGACGCUGAGAAGCGAAAGCUAGGGGAGCAAACGGG
Molecule: ribosomal RNA, 253 nt
Filed under: uncultured bacterium
Lineage: Bacteria
Description: partial 16S ribosomal RNA
Rfam family: Bacterial small subunit ribosomal RNA
Source: RNAcentral